CUGGCCUCUUUUUUUUUUUUUUUCCUUUAAAUGUAAAGGUUGACCAAGUGAGACUCACAGGAACAGGGGACACACAGAUUGUGAGGGACAGGUGUAAACCAGAAACUGCUGGGAGCUUUCAGUGCUGGAGUAAGAGAAUGAGGAAGGUCAGCUGGAAGUCUGUGGGACCUCCUUUGAUCAUGGCACAAAAGAUUUAAUAGAAGAUGGAAGUAAAAAAAAGAGACAGCGAGAAAGAGACUAAAUGAAGAUUUUAGUGAAAUUUUGUCUCCCAAAUUCCAUUUGAAAGUACUGAUUGGAGACACAAGAACAAGCAGCAAUAAAUGCCCAGAAUGUUCUAGAUGUGGCUGAUAGAAUGAAGUCAUCAGAGCCAGAGAGCUACUCAGGAGCUCUGAAGGAAGUAUUUCCAAAAAUGUGUAAGAAGCCAUAGUCAACGCGUGACUUCAGAUCGCCAAGUAAGCAUCUCAUCUGCGUGAAUAUCUUCAAAAAAUGUACCAACAAAACAGAAGCUUCACGUAUUUAACAGAACCAUGCCCUGGACCACUGCCUUCUUCAGACUUCCUGAGACCAACAUUACAGAUCACUGUUUGACCCUAUUCUGCCCUGACAUCAUUUCAUCAUCAAAGAACACCUGUGCUUUUGUGAUAUGUUUAUGUUCUAAUCUGGUCCUCAAAUUUUUGGGACCACAAGAUGCAUUUUAUCUGUUUACUCUGUAUGAUCCAAUGGUUAUAAAUUGAUUCGCACUAAUUAAACCCACAAAAGGCUGAUU
Macaca mulatta (Rhesus monkey) is the source of this 766-nucleotide long non-coding RNA. RefSeq lists it as uncharacterized. Lineage: Eukaryota; Metazoa; Chordata; Mammalia; Primates; Cercopithecidae. The record is from RefSeq and is a predicted model, not a curated record.